AGUCGUAACAAGGUUUCCGUAGGUGAACCUGCGGAAGGAUCAUUAAUAACGCCCGUUUGCUGUUCGCAAGAUUUAAAUGGGUUCAAUACCCAAACCGUGUCUAACCUACCUUUGUUGCUUUGGCAGGCCGCCUUCGGGCGUCGGCUUCGGCUGAUUAGCGCCUGCCAGAGGCCCAAACUCUGUGUUUAGUGAUGUCUGAGUACCAUAAAUAUUUAAA
RNAcentral lists this unclassified non-coding RNA (217 nucleotides) under plant metagenome. RNAcentral's name for it is "partial contains small subunit ribosomal RNA and internal transcribed spacer 1". The stretch from base 1 to 45 matches the Rfam family "Eukaryotic small subunit ribosomal RNA", at positions 1787 to 1831 of the family's 1831-position model. The record is from RNAcentral.